ACAGUUAACCUGCGGUUUUUUGUGACUAUUAAGAUUUUGGUUCGAAUUUUAAAAGCUUAACCUAUAAAUACCAUAAAACUGUCAGUUGUGGAUUAGCACAAUAUUAGCUUCUGAAUUAUAUUUCAAUAUACUAUCUCCACAGUUCUUUAUUUCCUCGCAAUACCUGUAAUUGUUGAUCAUGGAGAAUGAUGAUUAUUCAAACGACCUCCAGCUUCAGUUCCAAGCACUGCAAAAACAGCAAGAAAAACGAAAACUCGAUAGGAAGAAGAAAAAAGAACCCAGUAAUUUUAAUGUUCCAGGUACUCAGGAUGAGUUGGAUCAGUUGAUGCAAGUCAUUCAGGAAGACAAUCCUGAAGAUAGUCUGUUACAGCAGGAAAAUCCGACUCUGUUAGACCAACUGCGAGAGCUCAGAGAUGAAAACGGUAGACUCUUUAAACUUCUGAGUGAAAAAAACUUCGAGAUCAAACAUCUAAAGAAGAAAAGAGAAGAAGAAAGACUGUCCUUAGCUGGCACAUCAGGCUUGGCAGGAGCUGCAGCUGCCACCAAGAUUGUUGAGCUUUCCAAGAAGAAUAGAGACUUAACUGCGGAAAUUGAGCAACUGAAGAUUACAUCCAAGCAAAGCAGAAAUAGGAUCAUAGAGCUUGAGAAAGAGCUGCAGGGUGCUUUGGAGAACUCAGUGCCUGGACAGAAAACCACACAAAAAACACCGGAUAAGAGCUCGUCUGAAGACCGUGAGGAAAGUCCAGUGGUCAAGUCCCUGCAGGAAAAAUUAGCAGCUUCCCAGCUCAAAGUAACCGAAUACCGCAACCAGGUUCAGUCUGCAAAACAGGAGCUGAAAGUUGCUCAGAAGGUUCUAUUGAGUGAAGUUGGAGAGGAGGUCAACCUUCAGCAGGUACUGAACAGCCCUGGGAGCUUUAGAGGCCGGUCACAACAGAUUCUGGCUCUCCAGACAAGGGUGCGGGAGCUUGAGCAUCAGCUGUGCCAGCGGAGACAGCCAGGUGUGGAACAGGAGUCUCCUGCCACAGGGGUCCAUCAUAAAACCUCUCCCCAAAAUAGGAGCCUCAACUACAUCCGGACCAUCGAGAAAGAAAAGAGGGAGGCCUUUGAGAGGAUCUCAGGAGACUAUGAGGCUCUCUUGAAAGAACAUGAGGUUGUGAAGAAAAGGCUUGAAGCCUCUAAAGCCAGGAGCAGAACCCAGUCUGAGGAAAUAAAAACUCUGAAGGUGCAGAUUUCCUCCUUGUUGGAGAAAGGGAAACAUGAUGAUGGGGUCUUGGACACCCUGCUGAAACAGCAGAGCCAGAUGCAGACGGUGCUAAAGCGGCUCAGCCAACAGCAGAGUCCAAAGAGCAGAGAGCAUAAACAUAGCUUGAGACAUCAGAUGGACAGCGAGACCCCAGAUCACAACAAUCUUAUCCAGAAGCUGAAGCUCAUGGUUGCAGAGAAAGACGCCAUGAUAAAAAAACUGCGAGAAAUGCUGCAACCUUCCACUGAGCAACUGAAGGAAGAGAGCGAGGUCAGGCAUUCAAGCCCAAAGAUUAAAAGCUGCAGUUCAGGAAUCUGCCCAGAAGAUGGAGACAGUAUCAAAAGAAUUACACAUUCAGAUUCAGUCUCUAAAUUAGGUCAUAAAUUGGUGCUGGGUGCUAUGGGAGGUGGAGUGGAAAUAAAAAGUCCUACAAAAUGCCCGAAGUGUUCUGCUGAUGUGGGUGCUCUGAUCAGCCAGAGCAGUGUGUACAAAAUCCUCAGCUUGGAGAAGGACAGGUUGCUGGAGCUGGUUAAGGUCCUACAGAUCAAAGAGAAAGACAUGAAGCAAAUGUGUUUGGAGGCAGAGAAGAAAUACCAUGAGGAGCGUCGCAAGACUGUGAUGCUGGAGCAGCAGUUAGAAAGGACAAAAAUAGAUUCCAAGUAGAGGACUCUGCAUCGAGCACGCACCCUGUGGGAGAUUGGCAGGUCCCAUUUGGACCUGGUGAGAAAGAGCCACAAGACAAAAAUAUCAAAAAUAUGGACACGAUGAAGACAGCCUUUAUGCUCAGAGUAACAAAAACAUCUUGUGUUGAGCACCUCCUGGAUGGAAGCUUUGAAUGACUCCUUUCUCCAUCGUUCUCCUCAGAGGUAUUCCCUCGUUCUGGACCAAUGAUUCCUGCAGACCAUUGACUGCAUCCAGAAACUAAAGUAAACAGUCCAGCCGUGGAGGCAGAGGUUAAAGUUAGCAAUCAGUGUACGAGGGAUCUGUGAACUUUCCUCAGGCCAGAAAAACGGUUUUUUCCUUUGUGAGUUUAUUCAUCGUCCUGCGGCUCUCAUUUACAUGUAAUGGAAAGAAAAUAAACAGAACAGUCCUAAUGUGCUCAUUUGCAGUAAUUAGAAAUUAAGUAACAACUUAACUUGUACACCAGGGAAGUAAUGAUUAAACUCUUAAUGGUCAAAUAAUGUUUACUGGAUCAUCACUGUGGCUUCUAUUCUGGGAUUUUUAUUCCAAUAAAUUUAAUUACAUGUAGAAUCACUAGAUGGCAGUGCUGUUGCUCAUGUGCUGUGAUGCUUUUCAGUUUAUCUUCUGUGUGAUUUAAAGCCAAAAAUGGUUAAAAACCUUUUUUUUUUUUGCAUUUUAUCAUGUUACAUCAGACUUUAUCCUAUUUACACUGGAACACAUACUUUUUUUUCGUAUAAAAAUGUCAAAGGUGUGGUGUGCAUGUGUAAUUAGAGGUAAAUCCCAGACAUCAGUUCUUUAAAGAACCAUCUUUUGCUGCAGUUACAGCUGCAGGGCUUUUGAGGUAUGCCUCUAAUAGCUUUGCACAUCUAGACAUUGAAAUGUGUUAAGUUUUUUGGGCAAAAUAGCUCAAACUGUCAGAUUGAAAGAAUACUAUCUGUGAACAAGAAGUCUUGGAAAAGCUUCUAUAUUGGGGUUAGGUCUAGAUUUUGACUAGGCCAUACUAAGACGUAAACAUGCUUUGAUCUCCACAGUUCCUCCUGAGUUACCACAGGCCUCUUUACUGCUUCUCCAAUUAACACCCUCCUUCAGUUUAGGUGGAUGGCCCCGUCUCGGAAGGUUUGGGGUUGUGCCAUGCCCGUUCCAUUUAAGUUGAGGGAUUGAACAGUUUGGAAUAUUGUUUUAUAACCUAACCCUGUUUUGAACCUCUCCAUACCUUCAUCCCGGACCUCUCUCCUGUUCACUGGUUUUCAUGUUGCUGUUUGUUCAUUAAUGUUCUCUAACAAACGUCUGAGGCCUUCACAGAACAGCUGGAUGUAUACUUAGAUUAAAUUACACACAGGUGCACUUUGUUUAUUAGGUGACUUGUGAAGGUCUGCAAUUGCCCAACAUUUUUUUUAGGGUAUCACAGUCAAGAGGGAUGAAAAUACAUGCAUGUCACUUGUUUCAAACUUUUGUCAAAAAACAAUGGAAACAAAUGUAUCCUUUUCUUGUUCCUCUUCAAAUCUCUACUUGAUGUUGGUUUAAAUCCCAAUUAAAUACAUUUAAGUUUGCGGUUUUAAUGUGAUAUGGAGAACUCUAAGAGAUUUGAAUAAUUUUGCAUGACGCCAUAACAUAAAGUACAUGAAACAUUUUUCCAAUAAUAAAUCAUCAGGCAUGGUUAAUGUUUCAGUAGUGCUAUGUUUAGACAGCAGCAGUAGUUUUUCAGGAAUGAAAGUUAUGCAUUUUGUGCAGAAGCUGCAUUUAAGAUCGUGGUUAUGCUGACUAAGAGAUAGCCCUGAAAAUUAUUGUCACCAAAAACUGUAUAAUUUUAAAUAAAUUGCGUUCACUAAG
Molecule: RNA transcript, 3754 nt
Organism: Girardinichthys multiradiatus
Lineage: Eukaryota; Metazoa; Chordata; Actinopteri; Cyprinodontiformes; Goodeidae
Gene: ccdc13
Gene name: coiled-coil domain containing 13
Exons: 16
Source: RefSeq, a predicted model, not a curated record